Molecule: ribosomal RNA, 301 nt
Filed under: uncultured bacterium
Lineage: Bacteria
Description: partial 16S ribosomal RNA
Rfam family: Bacterial small subunit ribosomal RNA
Source: RNAcentral
CAGCCGCCGCGGGAAUACGAAGGGUGCAAGCGUUACUCGGAAUUACUGGGCGUAAAGCGUGCGUAGGUGGCGUGUUAAGUCGAAUGUGAAAGCCCCGGGCUCAACCUGGGAAUGGCAUCCGAUACUGGCAGGCUAGAGUUCGAUAGAGGGUAGUGGAAUUCCAGGUGCAGCGGUGAAAUGCGUAGAGAUCUGGAGGAACAUCAGUGGCGAAGGCGGCUACCUGGAUCAGAACUGACGCUGAGGAGCGAAAGCGUGGGGAGCGAACAGGAUUAGAUACCCCAGUAGUCCCUGUCUCUUAUAC